GAAAGCUGGAACUUAAUUAUAAAUUGUUUGAGCCCUAAUUAUAUAUGUCCAAUUAGCCCCUCUGUUAUGGGCCUGAGCCAUCUGGAAGAUACCACUCUGGAAGAGUUAGAAUUCUAACCUUGUGUCAAGAGCUACAGGCUAAGAGACAAUCUCAAGUAAACAGUUCCUAUGGGGCGUAGGCUUCUAAAAAGGUAAUGGAUGCGUGAAAAGGUUUCUUCAGGUCUUACAAGAUUGGCCCUUGAGUGUAAAGGCAGAAGGGAGCUUAACAAGAAGACCUAACCGUCAAGUAGGGAUGAAAGUUGGCCUUAGUGAUCCGAUGGUGUCGAGCGGAAGGACUGUCGCUCAAUAAAUAAAAGUUACUCUAGGGAUAAUGGGUUGAUCUUCCCCAAUCACAUCGACGGGAAGGCUUGGCAGCUCGAUGUUGGCCUUAUUAAAACCAAAAAUAAAUUGCGUAUAGAUCC
Non-coding RNA from Gossypium arboreum, 461 nucleotides. Lineage: Eukaryota; Viridiplantae; Streptophyta; Magnoliopsida; Malvales; Malvaceae. The record is from Rfam.